Molecule: non-coding RNA, 9688 nt
Organism: Rattus norvegicus (Norway rat)
Lineage: Eukaryota; Metazoa; Chordata; Mammalia; Rodentia; Muridae
Source: RefSeq, a predicted model, not a curated record
GUUCAAGAUGAUGGCAACAGGUCUCAGAAGGACCCCCCCGCCCCCGCCCCGUGCCUUUAGCCUUCCUCUCCUGGACCAGCAAGCUGUGGUAAUCUGCUCCAGCACACACUAUCUGGUUUUCCAAAGUUCCCUGGCUAUGAGUGAUUCAUCUACCUCUUCAUCUUCAAUGGUUAAAAUGUUUAUGUCAGAUCUUCCUUAACAAUAGAGCCCUUAAUACAGGCUGGAAACUGCAUUCUCCCUCCUUAGGAGCGAGAACACACAAACAAGAAAAUGUUAGCCAGAGACUAAGCAACUGUCCAGCUUCAUACAGCACAUGUAAUUAGUCCUUCUGCAUGCUGGGAAGUGGAAGGAAGGAUUGGGACUUGGAUGCAGGGAACAUAACUGUCGAGCCCACCUCUUUAAUCUCUGUACAUUCUGCUCCCUUCAUAUAAACCUGCUUGGAGGAGGUAAGGAUCUGUUAACUGGGAGACUCACUAGUGUAGCGGUUCUCAACCUUCCUAAGGUUGUGACCCUUUGACACAGUUCCUCGUGCUGUGAUGACCCCCCCACCCCCACAACCCCAACCAUAACAUUAUUAUUUUGGGGGGGGGUCUUUUUUUCAGAGCUGGGGACCGAACCCAGGGCCUUGCGCUUGCUAGGCAAGCGCUCUACCACUGAGCUAAAUCCCCAACCCUGCUACUUCAUAACCUUAAUUUCGCUACUGUUAUGAAUCGUAAUGUAGAUAUGUUUGUUUUCUGAUGGUUUUAGGGGACCCCUGUGAAAGGGGCAAUUAUCCCCCACAAAGGGUUCGAGACUCACGGGUUGAGGACUGUUGCACUAGUGGCUUGUCUUGGUCCAGGACACUCCAAGUCGAAGGGAUAACCUCAUUCUGCAGUGACUCACACGCAGCAACUGUCCCGAAGUCCUCGAAAUGAGAGGUCACCUUGAUCCACCUGUGACUAGCCCUGUACCCACAAGGAAUGCCUUUAAACUCCUGCUUUCCUAUUUAUACCAAGCCAGAGCUGGGCAGGAAACAGAUGGGACACUCAAAUUGGGUAAUUUGAAGAGAGUUGAAUAAAGAGGCCAUUUGCAAAGGUGUGGGCAGGAUGUGGGGAAACCACAGCUACUUGACCACCCCUAGGCCUGCAGGAGGAAGGGGAGGUGCGGUCAUCACAACCUACAGAGUGUGUCCUGCAUGUCUAGGGCCACCUCACAGCAGCUUUGACCACAAGCCACAGAGGCAGCCUUAGGCUGUGACACCUUAGUUCUGCUUGUGACCUUUUGUCUUUACCCAGGAUUCCCCUCUGAGCACAUUUGUUUGCAACUAGAGUCUCCUGUAGCUGUCGCCAUAGUCACAGUACAGCUGAAGAUAAUCUUGAACUCCUGGUCCCCCGUCUCCAUGGAGCAAGUGCUGGGAUUCCAGUUGUCAUGUGUCAGCCAUUCCUGACUACCUGGGCUCAAGUGCCUGUCUCUUAGGAGAGCCAUCCAUCCCCUUCGGGUUGGUGUGAUUACUCCAGCGGACUGCGUACUGCCUCAGGGAGGGACUUUGGACUCUCUGGGAGGUGGUUUUGUGUGGCCAUAGCAGCAGCUCGUCAAACAGAGAGGAGUGGACACUUUCUAAAAACCUGAAGGGUCGUUUAUUUUGAACACCACGGAGUUUUCUCUUUUCAAAUUUAGCUGCUUCUGCCCUCCUGCAACAGCUGAGGAAUUCUUAUUUACUUUUUUUUUUUUUUUCUUUUUUUCGGAGCUGGGGACCGAACCCAGGGCCUUGUGCUUGCUAAGCAAACGCUCUACCACUGAGCUCCUACUUUUAAAAUACUAAUAACUAUUAUCAUCUGGAGACAGGACCUCAUCUAGCCCCAGCCGAUCUGUAUGUAGUUCACGCUGUAACAGAGAUUGACCCUGACUUCUGACCCUUCCGCUUUCUGACACCGCUGGAACUCCAGGUGUGCACUGUCAUGAUUGACUAUUGUUCUGUUUCCACACAGAGGACUGAACCUAGGACCCCAAGCUUAGAACUACAUCCCAUUUCUACCUUUUGGAGACAAGAUUUCUCCGAGUAGCCAGCCCCGACUGUCCUGGAACUCACUCUGUAGCCUCAAGUGCACAGAGCUCUGCCUGCCUCUGCAGGGAUUAAAGGCGUGCCCAACGCCUCCAGUCUCCUCGUUUUGUUUUGUUUUUUUUUUUUUUUUUUUUUUUUUUGGUUGGUUUGUUUGGUUUGUUUUGUUUUUGUUUUUGUUUUUAACUAGUCGUUUUGAAACUGUCUUGCGAAGUUGAGCUGCCCAGUUUUGAGCCCUUUGUUGCCCAUAUAGACUUUAAUUUUCCCACCUGACUUUAGCCUCCAGCAUAGCUGAGAUCACAGGCCUGUCCACAAUGCCCAGCAUCUGAGGAAUUUUGUUUAUUUUGCUUCUUUAACAGUCACAGAGAAACUCUCAGCCACAUUGUUGGAAACGGACAGUCUGAGGCUCCUGGGUGCGGCCUGCAGGGACCUCCUGACACCUAAACUCCAGGGUGGCAUCAGGAGAAUCAGGAAUCAGGAGACAGCUAGACUAAAUUAGCUCUUACUCCUUUCCCUCCAAACUUCAAAACCUAAAUGCUUUCUUGCUGAAUCCUAUAUAAAUAAAGGGGAAGACUGAAGCAGAAAGACGCCUGCGUCUCUGAGAAGGCACGCUAUUGUAAUAUGUAGUUUUCUGCCUCUCUUCAGUUAAGGCCACUCACAUUCCAGCUCCAAAAUGAAAGUGACCCCAAAUGGCCACAGUACAGAUCCAUGCACAAUUUUCCCAUCUCCUAAAGAUGAAAUUACAAAUGUUUUCAAAUAAGUACUUCCCGCAGCAAAAAUGUCUUUAUCUAAAAGGACAUCAUACUUGUCCCAAUGCCCAUGACAAGGGCCUUUGGCCAAACGAAUGGGAAAUCAUUGGCCUGAUUAACAUCCUGUGAUCUUAGAUCUAAAAAUGACCCGAAACCGGGUAAACAAGGUGACGUCAGUGUGCUGGGCAGGCAGCGGUUCUCUACUGCCACCUGGAGGGCAGUGUGGACAAUGUCGCAUGAAUUGUUUGCUAGUUUAAAAAAAAACGUUUGAGCUCAAUUGUGUGGGAACAGGGUCUUCACUGAGGGGCAAUCUUGAUUAAAAAAAAAAUCUUUAAAAUUCUCAGAUUCUACAUGGAGCUAGUGGUCUGGCUUGGCUCGUGACAAAGGCCACCCAAUUUUCUGUGCAGCCUCAGGGCUUCCCUGGGACUUUGGCAGGGGAGGGAGUAUCGUGGUUCUAAUUUAUUUUCCUGUCAGGCAGAUGUGAGAAAGAGGCUGCCCAGCUUUUUGCAUUACGCAACUGGCAUGCUGGGAGAUGCCCCAGAAACGUGCUGAGGAUGGGAAAAGGUCAGAGACACAUUACUAUUUCCCUCAAGAAGACCAUCCACAAAACGAAGAUGAAGAGUGAAUGUUAACUUAAUAAAAACAAAAACAAGACGGGCCUUACUUUCGGAUUAGUCUGUUUGCUUGGAGUGUUACCAACCACCUCAAAGUCUCAGUGGCUGACGACAAGAAGCAUCUAUGCUUUCCCUGCCGGUGAGCAUGAAGGUCUGCGGUGACCUGACACGGGCAGGACUCCAAGCUCACGGUCAUACGCAGGCCGAUUCCAAGGGGUUCCAUUCUUGCAAAGGAACCAGAAAGAAAGUUUGUCCCAUCUCUGAGGGUUUGGUGCUCAAGGCCCAGGUCAGCCCAGGCUAAAACAGAAGACACUCCUAGCCUCAGAUCAUCCAGUGUGUGUGUGGGCAAGCGAAAUACACAAUCUUCUACUGAGGAGGCCCUUCGAAAGCCGGUCAAGUGUGGCCAUGCAUAAUUCUGCGAGGAGAGAGGAAUAACAUAGUAAAUGUAACAGAAUGAAAGGCUUUAUCCUUGCCUCUCUCCCUUCUUUCCUGCCUUCCUUUGGUUUUGAGACAGUUUUACUCUGUUGGACCGGGCUAAGCUGGAACUCAUUAUGUAGCCCAGGUUGGCCUUGAACACCUAUCUCAGUCUCCUCUCCUGAGGACUGGGAUUGCAGGCUCCAGUGACCACACUCAGCUCUUUUACUUUCAUUUUUUUUCAAAUAAGAACUUUAAGGCAGGCAUGAUAGUAUGUCUGGCCACUUAGGCUAGCCUGAGCAACUUGGUGAGCUCCUCUUUCAGAGUGAAACUCAUAGGGCUGUGACGUCAGUUGGUGACAGACUGUGUGUGUGACAUGCUCUUGUCCCCAAGUUCCUUCCCUGGCACCCCAAGGAAGCAACUUUAAUCCCCACGGUAUAAAAUGUUUUCCCUCCAGGCUCAAAUGGUUCAUUUGAUUAUGUACUUGCCUCGCUGUUUUCAUGGGAUCUCCAGAUACGGGUUUGUCGGCCUCUAAGGUAAGCCUCUAAUCUCAAGUCCCAUGUAGGACCACCAUGGAGUAUGAUGGCCAGAGUUAACAGAGGAGCCACCAUGUGUGACAGCUCCAUCUGGAUCUCAUAGAUAGCAUGAGAGUGAAGGGCUUAGUGAAUGGAAGAGCUCAGAAGGGACCAGUGUCCCGUUUCCCACAGCCCUGCCUUCAGAGGUGGAGAUGACUCAGGAACUUCGAGGAAGCCAGAAGGAAGCAGUAGGGGAUUGUGGCUGCUUGUGCCAACUUCAUGUUAAUAGGAAGGCAGGGACAGUUGGCAGCACAUCAGACCGGGUACGGUGGGGCACACCUGUGCGCCCAGAAUUCAGGAGGCUGAGCAGGAGGAUUGCGAGGUGGAGGCUUGCCUGGACCAAUAGAAAGUCUCUAUGUCAAACAAGUAAAAGAAGAUAAUUGGCAAUAUUUUAAAUGUUGUUUGCCAGUUUUUAUAUUUGAUUGUUUCUGUUUUAUCUCAUUUUUUGGAGACUGGGUUUGUUUGCCAGGGUUUUUUUGUUCUGUUUUGUUUUGUUUUGUUUUUGAGACAGGGUUUCUCUGUGUAGCCUUAGCUGUCCUAGAAUUAUCUCUUUAAAGGAUCGGGUUGGCCUUGAACUCACUGAGAUCAGCCUGCCUCUGCCUCCCAGCGCUGGGAUUAAGGCGUGUGCCACCACCUCCGGCAUUGUUUGACAGUUGUUUGUUUGUUUGGGAGGGUUUGUUUGUUUGUUUUCAUUUCCUCCUCCUUCCUCACUAGAGGUCUGAAGGUCAGGCAAGGAGACUGGAGGAUCUGAGGGUUAAACACAGGUCAUGGGAGAUUCAACUUGCAAAGCACAAGGACUCUAACAUGAGGCAGUUUCUUAUUUCAAGAUAUACCUUCCCUCUUUGGAACUCUUCAGUGACUUUUCAUGGUCCUCAAAACAGUUAUCUUCUCCAAGAGACCUCUUGAGUCCCUUCCUCAAAGCUCACUCCUUUUCCUCAGAUAAAUCCAGAAUAAAUUUAGAGCCCUUUGUUCACCCAUUUGGCGACUGAACAGAUAUUCCCCAUGCCAAGCCCUUGCCAAGCCUUUGCCAAGCCCGAGGAGGAACACAUACCUCCUGAAGCAGUGUCUGAUGGAGAAUUCAGGCAGGAGGAGAGAUACCAAUUAAAAACUCCAAACAGGGGCUGGAGAGGUGGCCUAGAAGUGAAGUGUGUCUAAUUGCUCUCCCAGAGGACCAGGGUUCAAUUUUAAGCACCCGUAUCAGGUAAAUCAAAGAACUCAUUGUAAUUCCAGUUUCUGCAAGAACAAGUUACACACAAACAAAUGCAAAAUAUAGAUAUGCACACAUACGGAAAUAAAUCUAAAGCAACCUCCAAGCAGGGCUCUGGGUUUGCUGUGUAAAUUGGGUGUGGUGAUGUCACCUAUAAUUCCAGCCAUUGAAAUAAGGAGACUAAAGGGUCAGAAAUCUGAUCAGUCAUCCUCAGCUAACCGUGAGAGUGAGGACAGCCUGUCUGAGCCACACGAGGCCAUGUUCAUAUUUAAAAGCACAGGAACCCUGUCUUGCUCACUGGUAUAUCUCUGUAUGUCUGUAAUCAUCUGGAGCCUGGCAUACAAGAUUAAAUGGCUGCGAAGAGUGGUGGUGGGCAUUUAAAUCUCAACAGACUUCCGAUACUCACCAAGGCCAAAAUCUCAGGAUUCAUUCUGUGUCCCUGGCAAGGGGGCGUGUCACUCCUUACGGAAGGUUAAACUGGAGGUCACAGCUCAGCUACUGCUGAUCCAGGCUGAACUCAUGAGUCACCAGCUCCUCCCGGAAGUCACCUGCUUCCUCCAAGAGAAUAGAAAGGAGGAUGAGAUAGACCAUGGCUGUGUGGUAUGGGUGCCCAGUAAACACCGCCAUUCUUUUCUGAAGUCACGGUUACUGGCUUGAGCUAUGACCCCUUGCACCAUGUGCUCAAUGACAUAAGACCCUGACCUAUGUCUGGUGUAACGGCUGCAUUCUUAGGGUCACAGCCUGUGUCCCAACAAGCCAACUUCAGAUACCCAUCCUCCACAAACUAAUUUAAACAGCCAAAUUAAUAGUUUUAAAAAAAAAAACAGGAAAGAAAUCUAUUCUAGGUGGCCACAUUAGGAAAGAAAACAAACAGAUCCAGUGACCUUCCUCGAGUCUAUCUUUGGAGUCCUGAAGUGAGGUUGAAGUUCAAGUAGACAGUCAAUGUUAUACACACCUAACUAGUCCUGGUUAAGGUUUGGUCCUGCCCACCACUGACCCAUCAUCUCUAAGUUGUAAAUCCCUUUGUGUCCUCUCUAACUCGUCCAAGCUUUGGGUAUUUUCUUUCCCCAUCGUGGGACUCUUGAGGAAUUACAGUUUCUUGGGGUUCACUGCUUUAACUAUCUGAUAGACAAACGGAAGGAAGGAAGGACACACGUAUCUCUUUAAAAUGCCUUCUUCUCCGAGGGUCAGUUACAUCCUGAGGUGGUUCAUUCAAAAUGCCUGCUGUAGAGGUGGGAAUCAGUUCUGUGGGGGCCAUGUGUGGGCCUGAAACAUUUUUGUGCAAAGGAAGAAGACAUUAGGCAUGGCGGGGAGGGGGGGGGACAGGGGGACACUCUCGUCCUGACUGCCAGUGAAUGGGUUUGGAACCAUUAGCAUAGACCCACUGCCAAAUGCUGUUAGAGUCUCGUUGAGUGACUUGGACUUUAGCCUGUGUGCUGGGGCACGGUGGGGUCAGACUGGAGGUUUUGGCAGUAGUGUGAGGGCGGAUUGAAGGAGAAGCCUCGGAUUGGAAGUUAGAAGAUGUGUUAGGAUUCAGUCCAGGUAGGGUUGCCCUGGAGAUGGGGUGGGGGGUAGGGUGGGGGAUGGGGGUGGGGGUGGGGGAAUUGAGGAGCUUUAGAAGCAUAGCUACCAGAAGGGUUCAGAUGUCACUACAUAGGGGAAGGGGAGGCAGGCAGGUGAGUGGGGGCCCAGAGUCCUCAGCGGUGCUUUGUAACUCUGUCAGAGGCACUUAAAUGACCAUGCGUGCAGAAGGCGGGCAUCCUAAACCCUCGCCUGCCAGGCCUGCGGAGGAAACACAAAAUGGACUCCAGCGGUAUUUCACAAAUCGCUUUAAGUCAUUUUUAUAGUGGAAAAAAUCCAUUCAUCCUUUUUUUAUCAGUUAAUUCAGUUACUACUUACACCAUUCACUAUUUAAUAUGACUGUUGGUUCAUUUUCAGACAGGGUUCAAACUCAAUAUAUAGCUGAGGUUAACCUUGAACUCCUGAUCCUCCUGCCUCCACAUCCUAAGUACUGGGGUUUCAGGCAUGCCCUGCAGUGUGCUGUUGGCCUUAGUAUUGCUUUGUUCUGUGUUUUUACAUUUUUAUUUGUUAGUUCACAGAUGGCAGGCACACCCCGCGGCAUGUAUGUGGAGGUCAGUGGACAACUUACUGGAGUUUGCUCUCUCCCACCUUGUGGAUACCAGUGCUCAGAUUCAGGCCAUCGGACUUGGGGCAAGCACCUUACCUGCUGAGCCAUCUCACUGGCCCCUUAAUACUGCCCUUAAAUGAGGUCACUUUUCAAAAUCUAAAUACUUACCGUGGGCUCAUCCUCAGAACAAGCACCCCUGUGCCAGUACUGCUGAUAAAUACUGAAACAGACGCAAAGAUGAGCAUGGUUGGCUGCUCCUGUGGCGAGGAUGCCCACGAUGGCUGCUCCUGGGUCUUUGGGUGUGUGUAGGGAAUGGUUUGGAAAGCCCUUGACCUGAGUGACCACUAAGGCCAUUAAAAUUCAUGGAUUUCCUCUUGGUUUCUAUUCAGAUCGUGUCAGUAUCCAGACCCGAUGGCAAGCCUUCUCUUUGUAUCUGUUAGAAACGAAUUUUGCCGUGCAGGUUGGCCACCAAUUCAGAGAUCUGCCUGCUCUGCCUCCCGAGUACUUGGGAGUUGGUGGAAAGCGGCUCUGUCUGUAGAGAAGGGCUGACUGAUGCUUUAGAGCGACUCUCAAACCUCGUCCGAGUAGUUCCUAAUGUACAAACUGAUCCAAGGGCCCAGAAGAGUGUCAGUGGGAUGCUCAGCCCUAAACGGGCCAUUGAGGCAUCAUCACUCCCAUCCCAGCCUCACGGACCACGGCAGAAGGGUUGUGGAGUGACUGUAACAGCCAGAAGCUGGGCAGGGUCUGUGCAAAGCAGCAUCUUCUGGACAUGAUGGGACUGUCGGUACUCACACCCGCAAGACCUGUGCACGCUCAAACCAGUUAACCAUCUAAGCUGAAGGGAAGGAAUUCGUGAGCUCCACCCCUAACUGAGGAGCUACGAAUAGCCGAUGGCUUCUUUAAGGGUGUGGCUCCUGGUAGGUCAAUUUUGCUCCAACGGAUGGCCGAGAGUACGCGGGAAGCAUACUUUGGUCUAGAUGCAUUCCUUAAAGAGGACAGGAAGUUGAGGGGCAGGGAGGUGGGUGUGAAUCUCGGAGGAGAUUAGAGUGGUAGGCCAAAUAUAAUCCAAAUAUAUCGUACAAAAUUCUCAAAAACUAAUUUGAAAAAAUUAAACACACACACACCAGCGAUUAGGUGUCACAAAGCAAGUGGUCUAUGUGUGUUGUUAGAUCCAAUGGGACAGGGCAGAGCAAAUGUUACAUGUAGCCUUUAAAAACAACAGUUCUGUGCUCCUGAGAUUAGCUAAAAAUAGAAUCUUUUUAUAUUGUAAUUAAAUAGCUCCUCCAACUUACUCUUUAAUCUUCCCUGAAUAAGACUUCACGGUCGUCUUAGAAAAUUCACAGGACGGAAAUGGCCGCUACAUCAGACCCACUGUGCAAUGUAGGAUGCUCUGGCUGACCCCCUGCAUCCACUUCACACGAAUGCUCUGAGCAGUGGAGCUGUGGUCAGGGCCUAUGUGUGGCAAAGUCUUCCAACCACUUCCACCCAGAACAGUGUGCUCAGCUGGGGCACCAACCCUAAAAACUGAUUCAGACCAGAUCAUCAUGCUGGGAGCAGAAGAACUCUGGGAGCUAUGGUCUGCAUGUGUGUGUGUGUGUGUGUGUGUGUGUGUGUGUGUGUGUGUGUGUUUUGUCUAUAUGUGUGUGUAUAAUAUCUAUAUGUGUGUGAUGUGUGUCUAUAUAUAUAGCAUGUGUAUAGGAUACGUUCGAGGGGCUGGAGAGGUGGCUCAGUGGUUAAGAGCACUGACUGCUCUUCCAGAGGUCCUGAGUUCAAAUCCCAGCAACCACAUGGUGGCUCACAACUCUCUGUAGUGAGAUCUGAUGCCCUCUUCUGGUGUGUCUGAAGACAGCUACAGUGUACUUAUAUAUAAUAAAUAAAUCUUUUUUUUUUUUUUUUGGUUCUUUUUUUUCGGAGCUGGGGACCGAACCCUGGGCCUUGCGCUUCCUAGGUAAGCGCUCUACCA